CAGCCGCCGCGGUAAAACGUAGGGUGCGAGCGUUAAUCGGAAUUACUGGGCGUAAAGCGGGCGCAGACGGUUACUUAAGCAGGAUGUGAAAUCCCCGGGCUCAACCUGGGAACUGCGCUCUGAACUGGGUGACUAGAGUGUGUCAGAGGGAGGUAGAAUUCCACGUGUAGCAGUGAAAUGCGUAGAGAUGUGGAGGAAUACCGAUGGCGAAGGCAGCCUCCUGGGAUAACACUGACGUUCAUGCCCGAAAGCGUGGGUAGCAAACAGGAUUAGAUACCCCAGUAGUCCCUGUCUCUUAUAC
This 301-nucleotide ribosomal RNA is filed under the name uncultured bacterium. Its description in RNAcentral is "partial 16S ribosomal RNA". It matches the Rfam family "Bacterial small subunit ribosomal RNA", at positions 509 to 807 of the family's 1533-position model. The record is from RNAcentral.